UCUUCCCAUUUCGAACAGAGAAGUUAAGUCUAAUUGCGCAGAUGGUACUGCCAUUGGUGGGAGAGUAUGUCGCCGCCUUCU
RNAcentral lists this ribosomal RNA (81 nucleotides) under Flavobacteriaceae bacterium. Lineage: Bacteria; Pseudomonadati; Bacteroidota; Flavobacteriia; Flavobacteriales; Flavobacteriaceae. The record is from RNAcentral.